GACGAACGCUGGCGGCGUGCUUAACACAUGCAAGUCGAACGGGCCUUGUCCCCUUUUUUUUUGGGGGUGGGGUUAGUGGCGAACGGGUGAGUAACACGUGAGUAACCUGCCCCUCACUUCUGGAUAACCGCUUGAAAGGGUGGCUAAUACGGGGUGUUCUGGCCUGCUCGCAUGGGUGGGUUUGGAAAGAUUCGACCGGUUUGGUUGUUUUGGUGGGGGAUGGGCUCGCGGCCUAUCAGCUUGUUGGGGGGGGGAUGGCCUGCCAAGGCUUUGACGGGUAGCCGGCCUGAGAGGGUGGGCGGUCACACUGGGACUGAGACACGGCCCAGACUCCUACGGGAGGCAGCAGUGGGGAAUAUUGCACAAUGGGCGCAAGCCUGAUGCAGCGACGCCGCGUGAGGGAUGGAGGCCUUCGGGUUGUGAACCUCUUUCGCCAGUGAAGAAGGUCCUGCUCUUUGUGGUGGGAUUGACGGUAGCUGGGUUAAUGAAGCGCCGGCUAACUACGUG
Molecule: ribosomal RNA, 507 nt
Filed under: uncultured bacterium
Lineage: Bacteria
Description: partial 16S ribosomal RNA
Rfam family: Bacterial small subunit ribosomal RNA
Source: RNAcentral